UACAGAGGGUGCGAGCGUUGUCCGGAAUCACUGGGCGUAAAGGGCGCGUAGGUGGUGGCUUAAGCGUGCGGUGAAAGCUCGGGGCUCAACCCCGAGUCGGCCGUGCGAACUGGGCUCACUGGAGCAUAGUAGAGGCAGGUGGAAUUCCGGGUGUAGCGGUGGAAUGCGUAGAGAUCGGGAAGAACACCCGUGGCGAAGGCGGCCGGCUGGGCCGGAUCCGACGCUGGAGGCGCGAAAGCGUGGGGAGCAAACAGG
RNAcentral lists this ribosomal RNA (255 nucleotides) under uncultured bacterium. Its description in RNAcentral is "partial 16S ribosomal RNA". It matches the Rfam family "Bacterial small subunit ribosomal RNA", at positions 524 to 776 of the family's 1533-position model. The record is from RNAcentral.